GAUGAAGAACGUAGCGAAAUGUGAUACUUGGUGUGAAUUGCAGAAUCCCGUGAACCAUCGAGUCUUUGAACGCAAGUUGCGCCCGAAGCCACUAGGCCGAGGGCACGCCUGCCUGGGCGUCACACGCCGUUGCCCCCCCAUCUACUCCUUCGGGAUUGCGGGGGGGCGGAUGAUGGCCUCCCGUGCGCCUAGCCGCGCGGUUGGCAUAAAUACCAAGUCCUCGGCGACGCACGCCACGACAAUCGGUGGUUGCGAAACCUCGGUUGCCCGUCGUGUGCGUUCGUCGCGCAUCGAGGGCUCGAAAAAAUGCUCGGCUCCGGCUGGGCUUUCAACGCGACCCCAGGUCAGGCGGGGUUACCCGCUGAAUUUAAGCAUAUCAAUAAGCGGAGGA
RNAcentral lists this unclassified non-coding RNA (391 nucleotides) under soil metagenome. Its description in RNAcentral is "partial contains 5.8S ribosomal RNA, internal transcribed spacer 2, and large subunit ribosomal RNA". The stretch from base 1 to 122 matches the Rfam family "5.8S ribosomal RNA", at positions 35 to 154 of the family's 154-position model. The record is from RNAcentral.